AAGAUGCAGCACCCCUGCAGGGUUAGUUGAGCUUUCCCAUCUUGAGGAGAGAUUUUGUCCUUACCUCUAUAGAGAAAACCCCUCUAUGUGGACUAAGAGAAAAUCUGGGAUAAUUGAAUUUUGAGAGAUUUAAUUUAAAUCCAUGUCAGAUACUAUACAGAGGCUCCAAGGGAUAUAUAUGUAUUUUUUAUCCAGAUAUAACAUGACAUGCUUUCUCGUUCCUUCAAAAGUCAGUGGCAAUGGUCUUGACCGCCCCUGAGAAAACUCUUCAGUAUCAGUGGUUUAAUUUAGACUUCUGGGCUCUUCUCAGGAGGCAGGGGCUGAAAACCUCACCUGUUUUGGACACCAUUGCCCAACAAAAUGUGGAGUUUCAUCACAGGGGAAGUUUGAGAACGCAUCUUCUCAUGAUCCUCCUUCGAGCACACGUCAGUUUGAAUGAAGUUUUCUAUUUGGACUGCUUACAACUCCAGCUGUAGAUUAUGCUCCAGCUGUAUCUACAUUACCAAAAUUUCCAUGCUGAUCAAAAUUACAUGGUGGCUCUGGGUGCUUGUAUGGCUGUUUGGAGGCUGCAUAUCCAUCAGACAUUGUCUCUGGAUUUGGAUGGGGGGGAGAUGCAGCCGGAGAGAUGAUGUUGGACCAAGGCUUCAGGAAGGGUCUGGGAGUUCCUAUAAGGCAGAGCAGGAGCCUGAUGACAGGGUUUGGUGAUCUGUAAAAUGAUUGUUUGUGUUGGGCAACUUCACAGUAUUCUAACACCUAUCCUAGGAGACAGAAUCCUGUCUCCUAAAAGUGAAGAGUGGCAGAACUGAAGACCAAAUUUCUACUGCUUCUUCCCAGCACCCAUUUCAUCACCAGAGAAAACAACAGGAUAUUGGGCAGCUGGGACCAAAAGGAAGUUGGAAUGGACUCUUGUGAAAAAUGCAAUAAAAAAAAAAAAAGAAAAGAAAAAAAACAAAAGUGGGGUAAGAAGGAGGAGAGGAAAAAAAUAGAAAAGCACCAGGCUGACUCAGCACAUGUAAACAGAAACAUUCCCUGCACUUAUGUCAGAGGAAAAGGUUCCCAAAGCCGCCUGCAUACUGCACAUGUUCCUGUCUUCCCCCUCACUGAGGCAUUUGUAUAUACAUACAGUCUUUUUAAGUGGUGAUUUUCAGGUCACAGAAACCACUCUUCCUGAUGGGUGCAGGGAACAGCUCAGUCUGCCCUCUUAACUCAGACUGUCCAAUCUGACACCUUGGAACAAGAAGCUAAAUAAAAACAUGGGCUGCCCUGCAAGAAAUUCGAGCACGUUUUGAGGGACUGAAGAGAAAGCAAAGCAGUCAGAGGCUGCCUGAUGUCCUCUCCUUGGGUAAGCUGUCCCUUGUAAAUUCUUUACUGUAGAGAGUAGCUGUAGACAUUUUUACAGUUCAUAAAUGCGAAACCAUUCUCUGUUUCCUAGCAAUAAAGAUAUCCUGUGGCAACGAUAAGCUAAUUACACGCUGCAUACAGAAGAUUAACUUUAAAUGUGUUGUUCUCUCAUGUCACUGGCUGCCUCCUUUUUCUUGCUUUAAAAGGAAGGGCAGAUUUAGCAAAUUAAUCAUUUUUAAAACACUGACACCUUGUUACAGCCUCUAUCUUACUGACUGUAUCUCAAAGCCAAGUAGCUCUCAUCUUUGUAGUCCCUUUUCCUUUCAGAGUCAGCACCUGACACCCUCCCUUUGGUGGAGACUUUCUUAAUCAUCUCUGAGAUAGGAUGAUCACUGAGCAGUGCAAGGAGUUGGUGGAGUUUCAUUUACAUAAGUAAUGCUGCUCACGGAGGUAUUUUCACUUACUUCCUCCUUCUCUUCGAUUCUUAUAUGCUGUUAAUCUUGCUCCACAUAUUUAACCCAUCUUUCUUUCUGGCUGGUUGUGGUUCUGUUUUGACCCAGUAGUCUGAAAAAGCAGCUCAGAUGAAUUACCCCCGCUUACAUUUGUCCAGAAUGAUCUCCUUUCCAUGCUGAAUUACUAAAUAAUUCCAUACUAAAUUCCUAAGAUUGCUAAAUUCCCCCUAUAAUGAGGCUUCUUUGAAAUUCCUAUGACUUUUCUCUAAAACUGAUAUAAUUCUGUGCCAUCUCAUCACAGAUUGCAGUUUAGAGCCCCAGGAUGUAUUACUAAAUUCUUUCCAAGUGAAAAAUCCACAUCCCUCCUCCACAUUCAGUUCUUAAUAAUUCUUUACAGGCUACAGUGAUUUUUCUCUUGGAGACUUUCUAAAUUUUGAUGGACAGAUUUUUAAACAGAAACUAUCCAAGGGUAAUUCACCCUACUGUGUGUUUAUCCAUGCAUCUGAUGCUAUGAAGUUCAGUCAGAUGAAAAUUGAAGGUUGUGGGCAUGCCUACAGACUGAUGAAAAUAAUAAUGUUUGGCUGUGAUUUGGAUCACAACUGUGUUGCCCAGUUAAAUCAACGUAGUGUUGGUGAUUCUCGUCUAAGAAUUUAACACUGCCUUACAGCUUCUUCAGCAGAACUUAAUCUUUCCAUUAAACAUUUAUUUCCAUUUCCAUCUUGCAGUCUCCCUUUCAAUAUUUUUAGGUUCUGCAUGUGUAAUUGUGCGGGUUUUUUUCUCCUGUUUGGCUCUUCUACCACAUCCUGAAGACCUCUUCUGUUCAGUGUAUAUGAGUAAACACUGAGCACUGAGCAAAAAAAAGUUAGAAACCAAAGCCAAUGCUGGCCUGAAUCUACAAUAAAAGAUGUCCUUUCCCUUCUGAUGCAGGAAAACUUGCAAUUCCUACGACACAGAGUUGACUUUGGCACACUGCACUGUACACUAUGGUAUUUAUAACAUCAAUAAAAUGUCACAGGGCUACAAUGUUUAGCUGGUUGUUGCUAAGCUUUUGCAUUCUGCUUUGUUUAGUAAUUUGAUCCCUCCUCUUACCCUUUUCAUUAAGUAGCAACUUUCUAGAGCAGAUGAUUGGGUCUCCCCAGCAAUCACUGGAAGCGAUUAAAUUGACGUCGUGGAAAAAUUGUUCAACAACAACAGUAAUCCCACACCAGAGACAAACGGGUUGUGCUUAAGAUGAUGAGCAAAAACUUAGGGUUGAUUUUUUGAAAAGAAAUUCAAGACAUUACUGGAUUUCUACCUCUGUAGAAAUAGCAAAGGCUCCCAGUGUUUCAUGCAGAACUACAACCUCACCUAGUAGUACACAGUACAAGCUCACACUGAAUACCAACCUCGU
Tympanuchus pallidicinctus (lesser prairie-chicken) is the source of this 3183-nucleotide long non-coding RNA. RefSeq lists it as uncharacterized. The record is from RefSeq and is a predicted model, not a curated record. Lineage: Eukaryota; Metazoa; Chordata; Aves; Galliformes; Phasianidae. The transcript has 3 exons.